Molecule: ribosomal RNA, 491 nt
Filed under: uncultured bacterium
Lineage: Bacteria
Description: bacterial SSU rRNA
Rfam family: Bacterial small subunit ribosomal RNA
Source: RNAcentral
GAUGAACGCUAGCGACAGGCUUAACACAUGCAAGUCGAGGGGCAGCAUAAAAGUAGCAAUACUUUGGUGGCGACCGGCGCACGGGUGAGUAACGCGUAUGCAACCUACCUAUCAGAGGGGGAUAACCCGGCGAAAGUCGGACUAAUACCGCAUAAAACAGGGGCACCGCAUGGUGAUAUUUGUUAAAAAUUUAUUGCUGAUAGAUGGGCAUGCGUUCCAUUAGGUAGUUGGAGAGGUAACGGCUCACCAAGCCCACGAUGGAUAGGGGAACUGAGAGGUUGGUCCCCCACACUGGUACUGAGACACGGACCAGACUCCUACGGGAGGCAGCAGUGAGGAAUAUUGCUCAAUGGGCGAAAGCCUGAAGCAGCAACGCCGCGUGUGCGAUGAAGGCCUUCGGGUCGUAAGCACUUUCUGAGAGAUGAGCAAGGACAGUAUCUCAGGAAUAAGUCUCGGCUAACUACGUGCCAGCAGCCGCGGUAAAGUAGUCG